Molecule: long non-coding RNA, 1410 nt
Organism: Octopus bimaculoides (California two-spot octopus)
Lineage: Eukaryota; Metazoa; Mollusca; Cephalopoda; Octopoda; Octopodidae
Source: RefSeq, a predicted model, not a curated record
UAUAAACACAUCACUGCGUAUUUAUGAUACCAAUUUUGUUUUUGUAGUAUAGUGGCCUGCACAUCAUUCAGUAUGUGUGUGAGUAUCUACAAUACACGUGUACACUUACAUAAAUAUAUGCAUGCAUGUAUGUGCGCGCGCACAUACACACACACACACACACACAUAUUUUCAGUUUUUGUAAAAAAACAGCAUUUGUAAUAUUAUUCCCAUUUGAAGAUAUGGGUGUAAAUACCGGCUAAAAUUCACAAAGCUUCAACAGCACACAUGCACACACACACACACACACACACACACACACACACAAGGUUUUCCUUUUCAGUAUAUGUGGCUGUCCGCCUGUAUGUGUUUGUAUUUAUAUACCCAGACCUGAGGGAUGAACAACAAAGUUGGUCCCUCUGAGAUUUGAAAUCAGAAUGGUAAAGUGGCGCCAAACUAAAUAAGUCAAGACACAGUGCAUGACAUACAGGAUGACAUUACUGUGUCCUUCCUUUAUUGUGAUAAUUCAAGGGAGAACUAGAUACUACUACUACUACUGUUACAGUCACCACAACACACCCACCCAGAGACUCCUUUGUUGGUUCAUGUUAAUAAAGUCAACACAGACGCCAGCAUCUAAAUGAAAAACUACAAACUCUUUCAACAGAUGCUCAAGUUUCCAACCAUUUCAAAGACAGGGAGCACUAAGCUGUAAGAAACACCAAGUUCCAUACUAUCUUUUCAAAGGAUCUACCAUUUCCCAGGCAAUUUGCAAAAAUGUCAGAAGAAAAAUAAAAUUUAUAAGUCAACAAAUCAUUUUGGUUUUAGAUGUCUGUUUGCAGAUUUUAGAAUUUCUUGCAUGUCACAGAAUGUUGUGUGGCACAAAGUAAUGGGAAUAUUCUCUAGAAAGCUUUUUCUUUGAAUCCAUUUUAGUGCUCUCUAUCACUAAUGGAUCCAAAUAAAUAAACACAGGGUGACUCAGUGAAUCAGUGAACCCAGAAAACUGGUCUAACAAUCAGCUGCAUUUGAGACAAGUCAAAGCCAAUAUCUUCAGCUCUGAACCAGUCCUCCUCUGUCAUAAAGGAAUGUUCCAAUUGAGCUGCCUUUCAGAAAUUAGAUGGCAGCAAACAUUAAUGCUAUUUUAGUGUCAAACUUUUCUGUGUCUUCAAUAAAUUGAUAUAAGUGUGAAAUCAUGCACCACACACCGAGACAACAAGACUGGUUUUAAGGAACACAAAUAUGCAUCAGUAAAUAGGUUCAGACAUAUAUGCACAUUACAUACAUGCAUACAUAUAUAAAGCGAUAAGAGAGAGAGAGAGAGAGAGAGAGAGAGAGAUGCCAUUAUAUGCAUAACAUUAAAGACAAGCAAAAGGUUAUAAUAAUAAAUAAAUAAUAAAUAAAUCUAUGCACUCACAAAUACUAUAACAUAAA